Molecule: ribosomal RNA, 497 nt
Filed under: uncultured bacterium
Lineage: Bacteria
Description: partial 16S ribosomal RNA
Rfam family: Bacterial small subunit ribosomal RNA
Source: RNAcentral
GAUGAACGCUGGCGGCGUGCCUAAUACAUGCAAGUCGAGCGAACAGAUGAGGAGCUUGCUCCUCUGACGUUAGCGGCGGACGGGUGAGUAACACGUGGAUAACCUACCUAUAAGACUGGGAUAACUUCGGGAAACCGGAGCUAAUACCGGAUAAUAUAUUGAACCGCAUGGUUCAAUAGUGAAAGACGGUUUUGCUGUCACUUAUAGAUGGAUCCGCGCCGCAUUAGCUAGUUGGUAAGGUAACGGCUUACCAAGGCAACGAUGCGUAGCCGACCUGAGAGGGUGAUCGGCCACACUGGAACUGAGACACGGUCCAGACUCCUACGGGAGGCAGCAGUAGGGAAUCUUCCGCAAUGGGCGAAAGCCUGACGGAGCUACGCCGCGUGAGUGGUGAAGGUCUUCGGAUCGUAAAACUCUGUUAUUAGGGAAGAACAAAUGUGUAAGUAACUAUGCACGUCUUGACGGUACCUAAUCAGAAAGCCACGGCUAACUACGUG